CGGUAGCAUAUCUGCAACGACGACAGAGGAUCAGCAUCAAAAAAAAAAAGAUCUAGGCAGGGAAUCGAGCUGAGACCGGCGUCAUACAGGGCCUGCUCGGUGACGAGCUCCUUCUGCUUCGGCAUCGAGAUGUCCUUCAGACGGUGGAAGUCUUCCCGAUCCCCGACCUCCACCCGACUGUUCUCGUUUGGUUGGGUUCGGGGGUCCUCCCAGCGGGAAGAAAAUUCCCAA
RNAcentral lists this long non-coding RNA (231 nucleotides) under Elaeis guineensis (African oil palm). Its description in RNAcentral is "long non-coding RNA (EGUI_LNC000056)". The record is from RNAcentral. Lineage: Eukaryota; Viridiplantae; Streptophyta; Magnoliopsida; Arecales; Arecaceae.